UAAUACGUAGGUGGCGAGCGUUGUCCGGAUUUAUUGGGCGUAAAGCGCGCGCAGGUGGUUCCCUAAGUCCGGUGUGAAAUCUCCCGGCUCACCUGGGAGGGUGCGCUGGAGACUGGGGGACUGGAGGCAGGCAGAGGUCGGUGGAAUUCCCGGUGUAGUGGUGAAAUGCGUAGAGAUCGGGAGGAACACCAGUGGCGAAAGCGGCCGGCUGGGCCUGUCCUGACGCUGAGGCGCGAAAGCGUGGGGAGCGAACCGGAUUAGAUACCCGGGUAGUCCACGCGGUAAACGAUGGCCACUAGGUGUGGGGGGUAUCGACCCCCUCUGCGCCGCCGCUAACGCAUUAAGUGGCCCGCCUGGGGAGUACGGCCGCAAGGCUA
RNAcentral lists this ribosomal RNA (377 nucleotides) under uncultured bacterium. Its description in RNAcentral is "bacterial SSU rRNA". It matches the Rfam family "Bacterial small subunit ribosomal RNA", at positions 521 to 896 of the family's 1533-position model. The record is from RNAcentral.